ACGCUGGCGGCGUGCUUAACACAUGCAAGUCGAACGGUGAAGCGCCUUCCUUUUUGGUGGGUGUGGAUGAGUGGCGAACGGGUGAGUAACACGUGAGUAACCUGCCCCCUUCUUCUGGAUAACCGCAUGAAAGUGUGGCUAAUACGGGAUAUUCUGGGUCUGUCGCAUGAUGGGUCUGGGAAAGAUAUUGUUUCGGUGGGGGAUGGGCUCGCGGCCUAUCAGCUUGUUGGUGGGGUGAUGGCCUACCAAGGCGGUGACGGGUAGCCGGCCUGAGAGGGUGGACGGUCACACUGGGACUGAGACACGGCCCAGACUCCUACGGGAGGCAGCAGUGGGGAAUAUUGCACAAUGGGCGCAAGCCUGAUGCAGCGACGCCGCGUGAGGGAUGGAGGCCUUCGGGUUGUGAACCUCUUUCGCCAGUGAAGCAGGCCUGCCUCGUUUGUGGGUGGGUUGACGGUAGCUGGAUAAGAAGCGCCGGCUAACUACGUG
RNAcentral lists this ribosomal RNA (489 nucleotides) under uncultured bacterium. RNAcentral describes it as "partial 16S ribosomal RNA". It matches the Rfam family "Bacterial small subunit ribosomal RNA", at positions 33 to 507 of the family's 1533-position model. The record is from RNAcentral.